UGUAAGCGUAUACCAAAGUUGUUGCAGUUAAAACGCUCGUAGUCGGAGUUUGGCAGUUCCGGAUGUGUGCACGUCGUGUGCGCACUUCGCGGGGAUUGCUUUUGUGGUCUUGCGUAGGAUGAGGCACUUUUAUUAGUGAACGUCCUCACGCAACCACUUUUUACUGUGAGAAAAUCAGAGUGCUCAAAGCAGGCAUUUGCCGUGAAUGUAUUAGCAUGGAAUAAUAGAAUAGGACUUGGUUCUAUUUUGUUGGUUUGUUGGGACUGAGUAAUGAUUAAGAGGGACAGUUGGGGGCAUUUGUAUUUCGGUGCUAGAGGUGAAAUUCUUAGAUUACCGGAAGACAAACUGCUGCGAAAGCGUCUGCCAAGGAUGUUUUCAUUGA
Molecule: ribosomal RNA, 382 nt
Filed under: uncultured eukaryote
Lineage: Eukaryota
Description: partial 18S ribosomal RNA
Rfam family: Eukaryotic small subunit ribosomal RNA
Source: RNAcentral